This 460-nucleotide ribosomal RNA is filed under the name uncultured bacterium. RNAcentral's name for it is "partial 16S ribosomal RNA". It matches the Rfam family "Bacterial small subunit ribosomal RNA", at positions 338 to 795 of the family's 1533-position model. The record is from RNAcentral.
CCUACGGGCGGCAGCAGUGAGGAAUAUUGGUCAAUGGACGAGAGUCUGAACCAGCCAAGUAGCGUGAAGGAUGACUGCCCUAUGGGUUGUAAACUUCUUUUAUAAAGGAAUAAAACGAGGCACGUGUGCCUUUUUGCAUGUACUUUAUGAAUAAGGAUCGGCUAACUCCGUGCCAGCAGCCGCGGUAAGACGGAGGAUCCGAGCGUUAUCCGGAUUUAUUUGGUUUAAAGGGAGCGUAGAUGGGUUGUUAAGUCAGUUGUGAAAGUUUGCGGCUCAACCGUAAAAUUGCAAUUGAUACUGGCAGUCUUGAGUACAGUUGAGGUAGGCGGAAUUCGUGGUGUAGCGGUGAAAUGCUUAGAUAUCACGAAGAACCCCGAUUGCGAAGGCAGCUUACUAAACUGUGACUGACAUUGAUGCUCGAAAGUGUGGGUUUCAAACAGGAUUAGAUACCCUUGUAGUC